This 63-nucleotide transfer RNA is filed under the name Curculionoidea sp. 28 KM-2017. RNAcentral's name for it is "tRNA-Pro". Lineage: Eukaryota; Metazoa; Arthropoda; Insecta; Coleoptera. The record is from RNAcentral.
CAGAAAAUAGUUUAAAAAAUAUUAAUUUUGGAGAUUAAAGAUGGGUAGUUUACCUUUUUCUGA